AUCCAGAUGACGAAUCCAAAAUAGGACGAAACGCGUGUCCUGAAU
RNAcentral lists this non-coding RNA (45 nucleotides) under Schistosoma margrebowiei. The record is from RNAcentral. Lineage: Eukaryota; Metazoa; Platyhelminthes; Trematoda; Strigeidida; Schistosomatidae.